AUGUCAAUACUUGAAUUGGAAGCCUCGUAAGGUUUUGGGGGUUGAUUGCCCCAAUAAAUUUCAAGCUUCAAUGUAUAAAACGUUCAUGAAUAAACAACUGCAAAAAUUUUCAGACCGUGCUUGCACUUUGCGGGCGAUUUGAAUAAAAGAGCAUCUCCCGCGAAGGGUUCCAACUUCUCGUCGAUUGUGAGUUCGUCACCUGGUGUAUAAACGUUUUGACAGUUCUAAUUGAAAGAUUCAAAAAAUUCUCUUAGUGCAGCAAGCUUAUCAGUUUUUCUUCGCACAUUGAGCCUUUAUCGUCGAAUCUAAUGGCAGCACACAGUUUUCUGAAUCGCUGGAGACCCAUGACUCCUUGCAAAAUUUCAAAUCCAGUACCGUCUUUUGGCCAUGCUUCCUCCAAAUUGAGUUUUGACAUUUUUUUGCACCCUAAAAAAAAAUAAAUUUCCUAAAAAGGCCAACAUUUCUGCUGUAUUAUUAUCAUACAUGCUUUUCUUUGAGAUGUUUUGGAGAUCAUCUGAAGUCCUGUUACAUUUGAGAUAAAUGUUUGUAUAUUGUACGAUAGCAUCAAUCAUAUUUGUAUUUAUGAUUUUCUGGAAAAGCUCAUCAUUGAUAUCGUCACAAGUUUUGGCACUUGGGCAUAUUUCACUCAUCAAAUUUUUUCAAGGCGUUCUGGCGAAUUUGCUCUUCAGGGGAACUUUAUUCCACUUAUAAGUUCCUUUUCUUCUUUCAGAAACUUUUCUCCAACUUUCUUCUUUUUGUAAAUUGUUUUUUACAAAAACGUUGUCAUAUUUUAAAUCUCUCAUGUCAUUUUCAACAUCACUAAAAUCAUCACAUUUGUUGGGGAAACAUUACUUGAGGAAGGAAAAUGAGGAUGUUUAGAAACAUUUCCCUCAAUUUCUGAGUCACUUUCAUGAUCAGAAUGUUUGAUGACUUCCGAUUCAUCGACGUCAGAUGCGUUAUCCAAAUUGUAGGAGUCUUCAUCAGCCAAGACUUCUUCUAAAACGUGCAAAUAAUCUUCAGGAGGUACAAUUUUCUUUCUGUACGUACUUGGAGGUGCGGCGUACUGCAUUCGCCUACGUGACACGUUCACAAUAACUGCUUUCGAAAGGAAGGCAAAAACCAGACUGACCAGAAAUACCAGAUGCAUUGCACUCAUGAAAUGUUUCUAGGGUUGUAGAGGAAGGGAUGAAGCUCAGGAAAGGUUUGUCUAAAAAUUACAGACCAAAAGAUGGCAUUGGCGUACUCUGUACGCCGGCUCCUUCAUUGCAGGGUUUACCCUGCAAUAAACAUUUCUAACUAAAAAGUAGUAAUCAAGUUACAUUUGUAAUAUAAUAAAUGGGUUUAAGAAACAUAUAAGCAGAGCAGUCAUUUGCGUACUUUCAUCGAGACAAAAGAAUUUCCAGGUCUAAUUAUUUACUUAUUCAAGCUCGAUGGCAAAAGGCAAUUUAACAGAUCCAAGAUUCCCUUGGAUCUACCAGUGCCAAGGGGGCCCAUAGAUCUUCUGCGCCCAGGGCCCGAAAUGAGCUUAAACCACCAUUACCGAGUAUAUCAUGCAAAAAUAUUAACUUUACACUUAUAAAUCACCAGAAGAUGAAAAUUACCAUAAAGCUCAUGCUGCAUUAGACUUGUCAUCUAAUAUAUUUCUACUCAUAGCUUAUCACAUAUUUAAAAAAUAAGACUUUCUAACAAUAUGCAAUUAACAUUUUCAAGGAGUUCUUUUAAAAUUAGAGGAAACUAAAGAAGAGGUAACUUGCAUGAAAGCCUGCACUUGACAUCUGAUAGCAAACCGCAGACAUUAGAAGAAACAAAGAUAGAUAAGCUUUGUUAAUCCUUUGAAAUUCUCUAAAGAACCUUAUUAGAAAGUUUUUAUUUUUUGAAAGAUUGUAUAAGAUUUACUCUCCUUUAUCCUUAGUCAAAUUUCAUUCAACCAUAUGAGAGAAAAUGCAGUCAUUAUUUUUUAAUGGAAAAAUUGUGAAAAGGACAGUUAAACUAAUUCAGUACAACUUAUGGUGUAAGGAAUUAAUUAAGAAUAAUGAUGCUUGCCUAAAUAUACAGUUAAAAGUUUAACCAAAAACAUUAGAUCAAUAACAAGUUGAUAAUUUUUUUAAACAGUAAUAUGUUCCAGUACGUUCAGUUCUUUAAUAUGAUAUAUAUAGCCCUUUUAUUUAAUAAAUCCUAUCAAUAAAAUAAAUUUCUGUUCUUCAAUUAUUUAUAAAAUUUUAGUAUUGGGCAAUGUGUAUUUGUUUGUAUCUUGAUAUGAUUGGAUGCUUUCAACAAUUUAUUCUGAGGAUGUAUACUUAAUGAUAUAGACUGGGAUUGUCCACUCUGUGAACUGCAGUACAUUUCCGGGUCAGUUGUAAGUUAUCAGUUCUAUGAAUAUAUUGUUUUAUAUUUUACUCGCAUACAAAAUGAUCAUGAUGAAAGCUACAGAAAUACAAGUAGCUCAUGAUCCCCAAAAAGGUUGAGUUCUGAUACAAACAAAGAAAUGUCAGUAUUAUGCUGCUAAGACAUCUGAUGUUUCUAAUAAUGUAAAGAACAUUCAAGUAUUAGAAUCUAAUUCUGCUUUUGCUCAAAGAUAAUAAUUCUUCCAAUCUAACAAGUUUAUGCCUGUCAAGAUGAACGACAUACACUUUUUGAGGGCAAUACCACUAGGAAGUCUAUAUCGUAAAAAUUUAAAGGCACAUUUGUUUUUAUUCACAGUUUUUAAUUUCACAUUUUAUGCAAAACAGUAAUAAAUACAGAAAUAUCUGUUUAAUGGCCAAAAUUUGUAUCCCAUACUUUUAGUAAAAAACAAUGUGAAAGAAAGGUCAAUGGAAAAAUCAUGCAAACAUCAUGAAAUUACAUGUUGUAAAUAUACUUUUUCUCUGCAAAAGAUGAAAAUUAUAAAAUUUUCUAAAAAUAAAUUAAUAGAAAUUUAAGUAUCUAAUAUUUCUGGAUGUUUCCAAGUAGUUUAUAAAUUUGAUUAAAUUUUAGGAAAUAAAAGAAAACAAGGAGUUAUGUAUACUUGAAAUAGACAUUAAAUUAUUUUAGCAUGAACACAGAUUAUAAGUAUGAAGUUAUAAAAACAGAUAAUUUUAAUGUCUUUCUGCCACUACAACAUGAAGUAUAUGCAGUAAUAAUCUAAAUAAUCAAAAUAAAUAAAAAACUAUGUCCCAUCUAUUUGUAAUUUUUGAAUCUGAAAUACACUUUAUACAAUUAAUUGUAAGUAUUUAUUGAACCAACAUAACCAAAGGCACAAGUUAAAGCUAUAAUUACAACAAAUAUAUGUUAUAUAUAUAUGUAGAUAUUUCCAACUUAUGGUUUAAUUUAUGAAAAUGAAUUCCUUCACAAUAAUUAAAUUAUUAGUAUAUUAACUACAUAACCAUGACAAUAAAUGUAAACCUCUUCAGCUUUACUUAUCUAAAUAAAUUUUAUUUUAUCAAGUAAUGAAACAGCAUGAACAUGAUUUAGAAUGAGAAUGGAUAUUCAAAACAAAUUCCUUUAGUUCUAUUAUUCGGCACAGAAAGAACAACUUCAGAAUUAUGAAAUUUAACAACUGCUAGUAAUUACAUUGGCAUAUUCUUCUUGAUGCAAAUAUGAAAAAUAUCUUCUAAAAGAUGCCUCAAAACAGAUCAAUUCAUUAAUGCUACUGCAAUUAAAAAUUUCAAAACAAUACAGUCCCAGGCUAAAAGAGCAUGAUCAACAGUGAUAAUCAUAAAUCAAAACAUGGGGACUAGUUUUAAGACAUCAUGGAAAUGUUCAAUAAACUGGAUACCAAAGAACUGCCUAAAAUAAUUUCCCUUUAAACAGAAAGCAACUCCCAAAAAGUCACAGCACUCCAUCAAAUUACUAAGCAAAGUGAAAAAAUUUGCAAAAAAUAAUGUAUGUAAAAACAGUCUUACCUUUCCAUCCUUCAUUUCAACAGCUGCUUCCAUAGUGAUAAAACGUAAAACGCAAAUCCACCAAAAAUUUAAUGACUUUUACGUAAUUUUAUACAGUUUUAAAUACAGAAUCUCUUUAAUCAAAAAUACAUUUUCACAAACAUUGAUACUUCUGAAGUCGAUUAAUGAAGAGAUAUGAAUAGUGUGUGCAUCAUACAUUAAUUAAAAAAGCCAGUGAUAUCAUAUGCACCUAUAAUAUAAAUAUGCACAUAGCAUUAGAAUUAAUUAUCUAUUAACAAUCUGAAGAUGUAAUUCAUAAGAAAUCUAAGUGACUGAAUGAUACUGCCAUAUUUUACAUCAAACUUGCAUUAGAUUAGAACUGAAAGUGCAAUUAUUUUGUGAAAGUAUUUCCUGAAUUUAAAUACUAUGAAAUAAAGGAAUUCUUAGUAUGUGCAUUUCUUCAGUUCAAGACAUUGUUUAAGUUUGCAUUUAAAAGUGAUCAAUCAAAUAAAUUAUACAUUUUACUUGUAUUAGAAAUCUUUUCUUUCAGCAGGAAUAUUUAAGCUUGAGUUUCAAAUCAAAAUCCUGUUAAUCCAACUAGGACCAAUUUAGAUGUUCUGCAACACCUGCAUUUGCAAGGGUCCCAAACUUAGGCAGCCCACAAGAUGUUUUUACAUCGGAUAAUUUUUUGUACAUUUACUGAAAAUCUGCACAAUACCUAUCACAAAUUACAAUGCAACUUUGUGCAAGAAAUUAAAGGAGUAUGACAAUGGAUUAGUAUUACUAUUUAAAAAGUUUAAAUAAAAAUUUAUAAAAUUAAGUGCAGUUUCUCAUUGAAACAUUACUUCUGUAUUUUAAAUUCUUGAAACCAAAAUCGUUAACCACCAAAGCCACGGCAACUUGCCUGUUGUCAAUUCUCUUUUGAGUAUAUGUCCAAUAACAACUGCUAUCCUUUCUUCUGGUUUGGGGAGGGAGGGAGAGGAUUUGAUAUUACUGCUAGUGGGGUAAAUAAGGGUAUGAAAAAAUAUGCCAGUGCAUGGGAAGUAAAGCCUUAGGUGUACUUGUACUAUCUCAUUCUUGAUAAAGAACUCAUUACUAAAAAGGAACACGUUUCCAGUGUUUUGAGAAAAAUCUGGGUUUCGACCAAGCUGGUGUUCCAUUCUUGGGAUAUACUUUUUUUUUCACAUGUGUAUUUUACUUUGCCAGAAGUGGCUGAAAUAAUGCAGGAGUUCCUUCAAAACAAAACAAUUCUGUGUUUUAUGCUAGUGCCAUGAUCAACUAAUUGAGCAAGUCAUAAUAUUAUAACUUUCUGAAUUCUGCAAUUAAAUGAACUUUUAAUGAAUAUUUCAUUAUUUGGAAAUUUGGUUCAGUGUGGGCUGUAUAAAGAGUUUUACUUUUACUACCCAUCCCAUUGACCAUGCAAAAUUUGUUUUCAGAAAAUUAUACACCUUUUUUGGGGGAAAUCUUUUCGGCUGAUUUAGCGUUAAGGAAAUAAGCCAUUAGAGUCCUUUUUAGUAAACAAAUUAAAUGUCCCUUCUUUUCAAAUCUUGGAAUGAAACUUAAAUGAACUGAAAGUUGAUAUUCUGUCUGCUCUCAAGAGUGCCAGCUUAGAGAAGAGAUUAAUUAUUUUUUAUUACAUCACCACAGAUAAAUCAUAGUGUGAAUACCAUUAAGGCUUAACUAUGAAUUUACAGACUAAGACAACAAGAUGGUAUGUCCUUAUGGAGGUGAAUGAGAGUUUACGUUACAUAUUUUAAUAAGCGUCAUGUACAUUUACUGCUAGCAAAAGAUAUCCAUGCUUCAAAGCAAUUUUCCCGGCGAGGGGGGGGAGGAGGAAAAAAAAAACAAAUUUAUUCUCAGCCAAAACAAAAUUUUAAUAUUUUUCAUUUGGGAAGUCUGUAACCUUUAACAUUUUAAAGUUAAAAUGUUCGAGCAUGCUGUAACACAGUACUGAAACUAUGUACACUGCUAAAAAAAAAAAAAAAA
Molecule: long non-coding RNA, 5846 nt
Organism: Stegodyphus dumicola
Lineage: Eukaryota; Metazoa; Arthropoda; Arachnida; Araneae; Eresidae
Source: RefSeq, a predicted model, not a curated record